Molecule: unclassified non-coding RNA, 261 nt
Filed under: Hevea brasiliensis (rubber tree)
Lineage: Eukaryota; Viridiplantae; Streptophyta; Magnoliopsida; Malpighiales; Euphorbiaceae
Source: RNAcentral
GAAGAGGUAACUGGCGAGGGUUCUACUGGCGGCGGUGGCCUUGGUGGUGGUGGCGACGGCGGCGGCAGCGUUGGUGAGAGGGGAGGAAGAUGGGAAUACGAUACUGGUGGACCCUAUGAAGCUCGAGAUGUUCGUGGACGAGCUCCCCAGCAUGCCGAAGCUUGACGGCUUCCGUGUCGACGGGGCCAAGCUCCUUCCUGGCUCCCUCACCGUCGGCAUGUUUGAGAAAACUUGGAAGUUCCAUCGUGACCUCCCGCCAAC